This is a long non-coding RNA of Pongo pygmaeus (Bornean orangutan), 2564 nucleotides long. RefSeq lists it as uncharacterized. Lineage: Eukaryota; Metazoa; Chordata; Mammalia; Primates; Hominidae. The record is from RefSeq and is a predicted model, not a curated record. The transcript has 3 exons.
CUUACGCUGCCAUCAGGCGAUAUGAAGGCGGUGGUUUCCUGGAGUAACACUGGCCUAUGAUAGGAAUUCGACGCAAGGAAGAUUUAUGGGAGCACCGAUUUGCAAGGCAUUGUGGGAAAAAGGUACACAGGUUGCACAUAAUAUGAUGGCAGUAGAGCUGGGAUGAACGUAGCCACACUCAAUCCUGCGAAGCCAACACUGAAAGAACCAGGCAGAGUGAACACAUUUAAAAAUGAAUUUAAAAACAUACUUCAGUAAAGACAAGGAAUGCACCACUGGGCAGGGGAAGAAACAGCAGAUCUAAAGCCACAUGUUCCCCACCUAUGACGCUGAAGCUCAAACCAAACAUUCUCAAAUGCUGUCAACCAACACAUUGAUCUCUCCAAGUCCUAUCUUCCACCUUUAGGAAAAAAGAUAUUUACUCGGAAUCCUGCCAACUCUCAUUUUUACAACAAAAGGCCUCAUAAAUUACUUACUGCCUCCCAGCCUCACAUUUGUGUGCAGUGCGAUAGAGUUUAUCAGAGUUUAUCCAUUUCCCACAGAGCUGUCACUAGAGUCGGACCUCAUGAUCUCGACAAACCCAACCUUCAUGAAAUUGUUCAAAAACUAUUUUUCAGUCAGCAUCGUUGAGAUUGAGUCCUCGAAACACAGGGGAAAUAAAUUGGUAGUUUAGAAAUAGUAGCAAUGCAUCAUAUUCAAGCAGGCAGGUACACAUUUACACAACUUAGGAGUGUGUGUAUGCACAUAUACAGGAGAAUGCCUACAUGUAUACAGAUCACUUUAACAUAUAUCAGAUAACUUUUUCUUACUUGGAAGGUUUUGUGAUGCCCCCAUCAUCAACUAUCCUGAAACACUUAGACUUGCCCAGCCAGCUAAAGAACACUGAUAUUCUGUCAAUGUGGGUACAUACAUAGUUUGCUGUUAUGAAUAAUUUUGCCAUAAUAAGGGCUUAUGAAGCAACAGACCAAGGUUUUUACUGAUCAAAAAAUUGUCCUUGUAGUUGGCCUAUUAGAGAUCACGGAAGGGCAAAUGGCAAAAAUCAUUACACAGAAAAGAGGUCUGUAAUUUGUAGUGAUUAUAAUCAAAGUUACACUAGUUCUUGUUAAUAACACUCUCCAAGAGCCUGCAUUUCUGACUCAUCAAGCAUAAAACAUUAACAAAAAUUAACAAGAGACUAGGUCUUGAGUCAGAGUCACAGGGCAUUAUUUCCUGGAGAAGGACAAAGGUUGCUAUCAUCCCUGUACCAAUACACACUCUGUGUCUCACUGUGUACACAGAAACCACCAGGAAAAAAAUGCCAAAACUUACCUUGGUAGCAACAGCCCGUUAGCAUGCUAACUCCCUAAGAGCAUAUACAUAAUCUUAGAGGUCUGAGGGCCCUCAGAAUCCAUCCAGCCCACCCCCUUGUUUUUCAGAUAAGGACACUGAGACAGAGAGGCUGGAUGGAGUUCUCUAAAGUCGAGCUAGAGAAGCCCAGUGGACUCCCAGAGCUCCUGAUUGCGUAACGGUACUGACAAUGCCCCCCACUCACCACCAUCUGAAUCCAUUUUUGUACAUGCCAUCAAAAAGCUUUGUUACCUAAAAAUAGUUUUGCUGGAUUUUAAUGUCCAUCUGCCAGCUUUUUCUAAUGGUAGGUUAGCAAUAGAAUAGUAGGCAUGUUAAAUAAAGCAUUCAGCUAGUAUCUAUCACUUAGUGGGGUCUCCGGGUACCUUUGCUUAUUUAACUUCAUCCUUCCUUAAAUAAAAGUUUACUCCUUUUUGUAUAUACCCAGUAAUGGGAUUGCUGGGUCAAAUGGUAUUUCUAGUUCUAGAUCCUUGAGGAAUUGCCACACUGUCUUCCACAAUGCUUGAACUAAUUUACACUCCCACCAACGGUAUACUGGGUAUAUACCCAAAGGAUUAUAAAUCAUUCUACUAUAAAGACACAUGCACACGUAUGUUUAUUGUGUGACUGUUCACAAUAGCAAAGACUUGGAACCAACCCAAAUGCCCAUUAAUGAUAGACUGGAUAAAGAAAAUGCGGCACAUAUACACCAUGGAAUACUAUGCAGCCAUAAAAAAGGAUGAGUUCAUGUCCUUUGCAGGAACAUGGAUGAAGCUGGAAACCAUCAUUCUAAGCAAACUAUCACAAGGACAGAAAACCAAACACCGCAUGUUCUCACUCAUAGGUGGGAGUUGAACAAUGAGAACACAUGGACACAGGGCGGGGAACCUCACACCCCGGGGCCUACUGGGGAGUCGGGGGCUGGUGGAUGGAUAGUAUUAGGAGAAAUAUCUAAUGUAAAUGAUGAGUUGGUGGGUGCAGCAAACCAAUAUGGCACAUGUAUACCUAUGUAACAAACCUGCAUGUUGUACAUAUGUACCCUAGAACUUAAAGUAUAAUAAAAAAUAAAAAUUAAAAAAAAAAGUUUACUCCUUUUUAAAACUUUGUUCAAGUUUGUUUGUAUAGCCUACCAAAAAUCCUAUCUAGGAUAUAUUUUAUAUCUCUGUAUCUUAUUCAUAUUGCCAUAUCUUUUUGAUGUAGUAUUUAGUACAAAUAAAUGUUUGACAUUUUUUAAUAGGUCA